RNAcentral lists this ribosomal RNA (498 nucleotides) under uncultured bacterium. RNAcentral describes it as "partial 16S ribosomal RNA". It matches the Rfam family "Bacterial small subunit ribosomal RNA", at positions 28 to 507 of the family's 1533-position model. The record is from RNAcentral.
GAUGAACGCUGGCGGCGUGCCUAAUACAUGCAAGUCGAACGAGCGCGCCCGGUGCUUGCACUGGUCAAUCUAGUGGCGAACGGGUGAGUAACACGUGGGUAACCUGCCCAUCAGAGGGGGAUAACAUCCGGAAACGGAUGCUAAAACCGCAUAGGUCUUUGAGCCGCAUGGCUUGAAGAGGAAAAGAGGCGCAGGCUUCUGCUGUUGGAUGGACCCGCGGUGCAUUAGCUAGUUGGUGAGGUAACGGCUCACCAAGGCCGUGAUGCAUAGCCGACCUGAGAGGGUGAUCGGCCACAGUGGGACUGAGACACGGCCCAGACUCCUACGGGAGGCAGCAGUAGGGAAUCUUCCGCAAUGGGCGCAAGUCUGACGGAGCAACGCCGCGUGAGUGAAGAAGGUUUUCGGAUCGUAAAACUCUGUUGUUAGAGAAGAACAAGUGCUAAAGUAACUGUUAGCGCCUUGACGGUACCUAACCAGAAAGCCACGGCUAACUACGUG